Molecule: ribosomal RNA, 175 nt
Filed under: uncultured Methylophilaceae bacterium
Lineage: Bacteria; Pseudomonadati; Pseudomonadota; Betaproteobacteria; Nitrosomonadales; Methylophilaceae
Description: partial 16S ribosomal RNA
Rfam family: Bacterial small subunit ribosomal RNA
Source: RNAcentral
GGUAGGGCUUCACACGUCAUACAAUGGUCGGUACAGAGGGUUGCCAACCCGCGAGGGGGAGCCAAUCCCAGAAACCGAUCGUAGUCCGGAUUGCAGUCUGCAACUCGACUGCAUGAAGUCGGAAUCGCUAGUAAUCGCGGAUCAGCAUGUCGCGGUGAAUACGUUCCCGGGCCUU